AUUCGUAUUUAUUAUAGAAAUAAAAAUGAAAUUUGUUUUCCUCAUUAUUUCUUUAGGCGUUGUCUGCGAAGCUUUUUCAGCCUCCCAUCGUCAUCAUUUUAAAAAAGAUCACCAUCAACUUCGUGACGGUGACCCCACAUCGACUGAAAUUUCUUCUGAUUCUCCCACUGAAACUACAACUCCAAAAAUUUCUACACCUAACUUUCGGCACGGACCCGCUCUUAUAUGCCAUUGUGGAGUUUUUUUGUCCACUUUUACCUGUUUCAAUUAAAACAACUGAAACGACUGAAACAACAACUGAAGCAAGUGAUACGAUUCCAACAGAAACUUCUCAGAAUAAACGACAUAUAUUUCAUAAUAAGAAGAUUUUUAAUGCUCCUAAUAAAAAACAUCACGCUGUUAGAUAUAGUAAAGGUAUUCCACAUUCUUGUUUUUGCCUUCGGUGUCUUAUAUCAACUACAACAGAACAACCAGAUGUAUCAACAAUUUCACAAGAACCAACAGUGGUAACUUCUGGACCAACUUACUCAAUCAACAAUAGAGAUGACACCACUGUACACAUAUUAUAUAUCAUCAAAAGAACCUUCACCAUUUUAGCAUAUGCCACAUGAUUCUAAAGAAUUUUAAAAACUUUAACAAUGAAACAUCGUUAAGGUGUUCAUUGAAAGAAAAAUUAAGCGAUUACAGCGAUUAAAAAAAUAUCAUAUAGUGGAGGACAUGAAUUGCCCAUAUUAAUUAAAAAUCGUCAACAAAUAAGUUGAUCAUAAAAUCUGACCAUGAUCUCUUGUAACA
Onthophagus taurus is the source of this 792-nucleotide non-coding RNA. The record is from RefSeq and is a predicted model, not a curated record. NCBI's taxonomy places the organism in Eukaryota, Metazoa, Arthropoda, Insecta, Coleoptera, Scarabaeidae.